CGCGGGAUAGAGCAGCCUGGUAGCUCGUCUGGCUCAUAACCAGAAGGACAGCGGUUCGAAUCCGUUUCCCGCAACCA
RNAcentral lists this transfer RNA (77 nucleotides) under Mesorhizobium ciceri. RNAcentral's name for it is "tRNA-Met". It matches the Rfam family "tRNA". From Rfam's summary of the family: Transfer RNA (tRNA) molecules are approximately 80 nucleotides in length. The record is from RNAcentral. Lineage: Bacteria; Pseudomonadati; Pseudomonadota; Alphaproteobacteria; Hyphomicrobiales; Phyllobacteriaceae. RNAcentral also lists the same sequence under 14 other names.